UUCGAAAAGCAAUAAAUACAUUUUUAAAUGGUAAUGUUGUGUCACUUCGUUAAUUCCCGAAAUUUUCGGUGCCGCCUUCGUAUGGGCACUCAGGAUUGAAGGCAUUUAUCAGAGAGAAUCAAACAACACAGCUUUUCAAUUGGCCAAUCGGCAGCAUGUAUGAACUUUGGAAAAAAACAUGCACUAUCGAAAAGGACCUUGAAAAUGAAAUUCGAACGGAAGCGUCAUGUUGGAAAAUGGUUCUUCAAAGGUUAUUCGAUGUCAUACUUACCCUUGCAAAGAGUUUUUGGAUAUGCCCAAAGAUAGUGAUUUUUCUUUAGUCUGUUCCCUUUAGUGAAAGGUAGUGACUAAAUCGUGCUUUUUAUGUUUUUAGGAUCUACAAGUUAUCUGGGUCCAAACUGGAAAACCUUCUACUAGAACAAAUUAGAGCGUCCCCGUGCUUCGCCAUCAUUAUGGAUACGACACAGGACAUAUCGAAGGUAUAUCUAUCAGCUAAGCAUUGUUGUGAGGUAUGUAAUGAUAACGAAAUCGGAAAAUGGACAUCUAGUUGAUACAGAAGUAAAAGAAGUGUUUCUAGAAUUUUAUGCAGCUAUCAGACAUAGUACAGCAGGUUUAGUAAGCCAGGUGACUACAUUAUUUAUCGACAAAAAUAUUGAUUUAAAAAAAUAUGUGGGUCAAGGUUAUCAUGGAGCAUAGUGUUAUGAGCAAUGUGUAUAAUGGUGACGCGGAGUAUGUAAAUAUGCGGUGAUAAAUGACGCCGUCAGCUCUUGUGUGGAAAUACAAAUUUUUUCCAACUUUGCAAGAUUUGUAUAAUUUUGUAUAAUUUUUCGGACAUAGCAUCAAGCGUUGAGAUCCACUGUCAAAAAGUCUUUUUGUUUGGGUGAUUUCCAGGAUAGAUUUCGGUUUUUUAAGAUUAAAGGAAGAAAAAUACAAUUCGUCUCAUCGCUAAGGUAAGUAAAGUCUGUGACUAGUUUUCAUUGCCACGGCGCCUCCCGCUAUCACAAAUACCAGUGGUAACACCGACGCUGAAUUAUUAUGGCACAGGGAAGGCAGAUAACGCCGCCGCGGACGCCGCCGAAUCAUUGGUCGUAAGCCGCGUAGCCGUGCGUUUGCCGCCAUUUUGGCCAGAGGACCUCGAAGUUUGGUUUGUACAAGCGGAGGUGCAAUUUCAAAUUUCUUGUAUACGGGAGAAUACUACAAAGUUCUACCAUAUUAAUUCGUAGCUUGAACUGAAGUACAUACGUGAAAUCAAGGACAUAAUAAAAAAUCCACAGGCUACCGGUAAAUAUGAAAACUAUUAACAAUUUAUAAAAAUGAACGAUGAAUUGUUGAGAACAAAAUAUAUUUUACUUCCAUUUUAAGCUAGAAAGGUGUGAUGACGUGCUAAACAAACAUAUCUUGCAGAGUACCUAAAUUACAGCAGACCGUUGGGGGCAGAUCGAGGUGAGUGCCACUUGCUUAACUGGCUUGUUUUGAAUGUGCUAUAUUGUAAAAAGCAAAAUGGUUUUUUCCCUUAUAUGCUGAUCGUACAAACAUUACGAUUGAUCUUUUAUAAAAAUAAAUGUUAUAGCACGGUAUCAUUUCUCUUUUAUUCCCAUCACUAGUAGAGACACAAAUCGAACUCUCGAACCGAACUCUUUGCGCUAAGUAUGAAAAUAUAAAAAAGAGGGCCAAGACUGUAGUAUAUUUAUAAUGACGUAAGUCAUGCAUUCAAUAUAACUACCUGUAAGUGGGGGUGUAUUUAAAAUAAACCAGUAUUGAACCAACUUGCGUGUGUUUCACUACAAAGACCAAGUAUAGUACUUUUCGGAGAAGUUUGUACGGAACAGGGGUGGAAUUAAUGUCACUCAAGAAAAGGAAGUGGUAAUGGAGUUAUCUGGGACCAGUGUGAUGGGAUUACCAUCUCACAAUCACUGUGAUGAGGUAUGUAUGAGUAGCUUCUAAUUACAUUAAUAUCUCAAAUUGCCUCAUGAUCAAAUGUCCUCUACCAACCUAUACUUUGCCAAAAGUCACCAAUAAUGAGAGUGACCAGUAAUCUAUCCACCAACUACUUUUUUACUUGAUUUGUAUAUUACAGAUUUUUAAAAUCUAUAGAAUAUUAGAGAACCUGAAAUUGUUUUGCUUGUUUAACACUAUAUUUAUCUAAAGUAAGUAGGUAUUACCUAUUUGAUGUAAGUACCUACCUAAUAAAAAUUCGUGUAGGGGCCUCAACUUAAAUAAGAUCUUUAUGGAAAAUGCAGUGGACUGUAAAACUACCUAUUACUUAACAGAGAAACGAGAGUAAUGGGCAGCUGGCGCUGUAAGCUAUGCAAAAAAUAUGUGUGACGAACUCGAAAUUUCCUUAGAAUCUCGGACAAGAAGGCAUAUUUUUUAAGACGGAAUUAGGGAUGCUAACUUGUCUUGUGAAAAUGAGUUGAGACGAAAGCUGUUUAGAAAUUCAUGAGCGGUUUCAGCAGCUACAGAAUUUAACGGAUAAGUUUACUUAUCUAACGCCGGCUAUAUUUGUAGGGACCACAAAUGUCCCCAUAGCAACUAACAAUUAUAUGUAUGUGUUAGCGGUAAUUAUAUUGCAAUGAUGCUACGCCAGUCUCGAGAUCGUCAGGCUGUCGAUAGCACGUUAGGUUGUAAUCCCAAUAUACGUUAGUCACUUAACUGAUCACGUGUCUUAUUAAUCCUUGCCCUAUAUAGACUCAACAUAUUAUUAGAUCCAGACGACACUAAAUGUAAUCUAGACUACGCAUCUGUCGAAAUUGACGAGCAGGAUUUCAAGCUGGAACGACUUUGACUGCGGACUUUUAUCGCUGUUACAUGCAACGAAAAUAAAUAAAUUAAUGGAGACUCACUUAAAUUAUUUUAAUUUAUCUUAAACUCCAAGCUAGAAGAUACUCUAACCAAUAUUUAAAAAAUGCUACGAAUAUUUUUCACAGUUGCCAUAAGCAAUGCCAGCUGUGAGAGAAGUUUUUCAAAAUUGAAGUUAAUUAAAAGUUAUUUAAGAUCAACAAUGAGUACUUUAAGACUUACUAAUUUGGCUAUCUUGUCUAUUGAGGAAGAGGUGUGCGAUGCUAUAGACAUUGAUGGUGCAAUAAAAGACUUUAAUCUUAAAAAAAGUAGACGUAUAAAUUUUCAAUUAAAGACUUUGGUUUUUAUGCUUAGAAUACUUAUAUUAUUUUUCAAUAAAUAUUACGUAAUAAUUAUAGUUCUUGUUUUUAUUAAAAAUUGAUUUGCGUUUUAUAUUCAAUUCACUAAUUAUUUAAUCUUGUCGAUCGUCCAAUUGUACCUAAUCCUAAGUGAUAGGUAUUGUACCUGUUAUAACAAUGUAUCUAAUGGCAGCGACAUAUGUUACGAUAUACUAGCGCUUUUUUAGGUUUGCGCAAAUAAAUCGUUAUGCCCGAGUGACCACAGAUGGCUCAAGUGGCAGCCACAGACGUUACGAUAUAUUUGCGCAAACCUAAAUUAACGUGUGUGGCUGCCAUAAGUGGUUGAAGUAUAAUAAAAUAUUUUUUGUAUUAAUAAACGCGAUUGUAACAUUUAGAUAAACUUUUUUAUUUAAAAUCUUACCUGUAGAUAGAAUGCAAAAUAAUGAUGACUGCUCUUGUCAAAAAAUAAUCUAGAAUGAAUGUAUAGUAUACAUCAAGGUGAAAUACCUAAAUAAAAGGGCGGCAAAAUUAUCUUCCGCCCCAGACGGCUGACACCCACGCUUAGAUAUGGGAUUUUACCCGGAAAAAACCCAAGUGUGGGAAAAAACCCGGGGAAAAUUCCCGAAUGGGAUAAUAUUCGGGUUUUUUCAUAUUUAGCACAUGUAACAUCUAGGUAAUAUGUAUGUCAGAGGAAGUAAUGAGUCGAUAUGAUUCUUGAUUACAUGCAUAACGCUCAUUAUUAUUAUUUUUACGUUGUAAUUACUUUCAUAAUUCCUAAUUUUAUUUUAUUUCGUUUGUUACGUUUUUCUAUAGCUUUAAAACCUUUUAUAAAAAGAAAUUGUAAUAAAAGGGUAUCGAAACUGUAACUUCACGUAGGCAACGACCAAUCAGAGCAGAGCAUUUGUCUCGAGCGUGGUCGAGGCACCAUCUUUACUUUGAGAAGGCUUGUAUUGUCGGUUGACACAUUUUUGGAGCAUAAAAACGUAUCAAGUUGGAUCGUUGGAGAUAGUUAAAGUGAGAUUGGUGCACCGAACUCGCUGCUCGGUCUAAAGUGUUAUAUUCUCGUAUAAUAUUACUGUGAAGUAAUCAAGUAUUGUUUAAAUUAAACUAGUGAUAAAAACGUAUUCAUUGUGUUUUGUGCUCGCAUUUCAUCCCAAUGAAGCCCACUAAGCCCACAGCCACUAAUGACGAUGCCAUCAGGAAGAGCUUUCCCCGACACGUAUAUCAAAUAGUCAUAAUGAGGUGUAUAUAUCGAAAUGGUUCGCUUAUGAGCACUUUUACUUCUCGGCUGACAAGGUCUCUCCCCGUGAUACUCAAAACUCAAUGUCUAUCGACACAUCGUCGCCUUCUGCAGCAAGAGACACAACAAAUUCAGAACCAUCGCCUUCUGUAAGUAUCUGGAGUCAGUAAGCUUUGGGCUAAAGGCGGAAACAUAUUUACGUGUCGUGUCGUGGCGUGCUCUGGAGUUAUUUCUUUCAUUUCUGAACAUAACCUCGCAGUGUUUAAACGUACAUAAUGUUUUCUUCUGAUUCGGAUAGUGAUUAGUGCUAAUUAUAUUUUAUAUUUAAUAUCUAUGUUGCCAUGUUAUUUAUCCAUUUGAAACGAAGUGUGUAGCCAAGUGUGACCGAAUUGCUUUUGCGUCAUUUGCAGACCUUCGAGGAAUUGCACGUAAAGGCACAAAAGAAGUCGAAUCUAGUUCAUUCCUCCACGACCCUUGUACGAAAUUUCCAUCGAUUUCAGAGUCCAAACUUCCUGGUGGUGUAUAAAUAUUUGCCCUUGUUUUUCGUAAAAAGUUAUGCAAAUAAAUAGUAGCCAGUACCACUUUCGUAGCAAUUUCUGGUUCCAAUAAUUUUGGUUUUCUUAACACUCUAAAUACAGAACGCAUGAUGCCAAAAGCAUUUUCUACUACUACCCUUUGUGCUCUAGAUAGACGGUAAUUGAAUAUUCUUUCCGGAGAACCAUUGUCUGGGUUCCUUCAAACGGUUUCAUAGUAUAAUUGUUUAAAGCAAAUGCUUUGUCAGCUAAUAUAAAUAACAUAGGGCACUUUAAUCAAAUAUGGUGUCUGUAAUAUACAGGAUGCUGGUAACUUUAAUUCAUUAUUUUCCAAUGAUUUGUACAAUGCACUGUUUUUAAAAACUCCACCAUCGGAUAUGCGUCCUUGACAUCCAACGUCUACAUACAUAAAAUUAUAAUUAGCAUCCACCAAGCCAAGCAAUACGAUGCUGGAUUUUUUUUUAUAAUUUAUGUAUUCUCCGUGACUAUUAAUUGGUGAUUGAAGAACAAUAUGUUUGCCAUCGAGGGCCCCCACACAAUGAGGAAAAUGCCACUGGUUUUCAAAAUCUUGUGCUACUUUUAACCAUUCUUCUUCUGAUGAUGGUAUCUGAAAAUUAUGUCACAUAUUUUACUAUUAGGCUAUCGUACUGCUAAAACAUUAUUUGAUGAUUUUAUUCAUUU
Molecule: unclassified non-coding RNA, 5591 nt
Organism: Bombyx mandarina (wild silkworm)
Lineage: Eukaryota; Metazoa; Arthropoda; Insecta; Lepidoptera; Bombycidae
Source: RefSeq, a predicted model, not a curated record